This 263-nucleotide long non-coding RNA is filed under the name Macaca mulatta (Rhesus monkey). RNAcentral describes it as "lncRNA (ENSMMUG00000056288.1)". The record is from RNAcentral. Lineage: Eukaryota; Metazoa; Chordata; Mammalia; Primates; Cercopithecidae.
GGCAUUCUGUAGGUGCGGCCAGGUAAGUUUCGGCUUAUGCCAUGUUGCGCCUGCGCAGUUGGUCUGUAUUGUUCCCGGGCGUGGGCUGCAUUUUCCCGCGCGCGGGUAAGUUGGUGAUGAAGAACCCGGAAAUGCGCCAUCUUAGUCGUCUUUGUCCUCAUCCCCCGUCCAGACAUGGCACGCGUAUGGUGAGAAUUCAUCUGAAGGUAACAACAAUUGAAACAUGCUGUACCAAUCCUCAUGCCCUAUUUCUCAAGCAGUGA